RNAcentral lists this ribosomal RNA (494 nucleotides) under uncultured bacterium. RNAcentral describes it as "bacterial SSU rRNA". It matches the Rfam family "Bacterial small subunit ribosomal RNA", at positions 43 to 507 of the family's 1533-position model. The record is from RNAcentral.
CAGGCCUAACACAUGCAAGUCGAGCGGAAACGAGUUAACUGACCCGUUCGGGUGACGUUACGGCGUCGAGCGGCGGACGGGUGAGUAAUGCCUGGGAAAUUGCCCUGAUGUGGGGGAUAACCAUUGGAAACGAUGGCUAAUACCGCAUAAUGCCUUCGGGCCAAAAGACGGGGGGGGGACCUUCGGGGCCUCUCGCGUCAGGAUAUGCCCCCAGGUGGGAUUAGCUAGUUGGUGAGGUAAUGGCUCACCAAGGCGACGAUCCCUAGCUGGUCUGAGAGGAUGAUCAGCCACACUGGAACUGAGACACGGUCCAGACUCCUACGGGAGGCAGCAGUGGGGAAUAUUGCACAAUGGGCGCAAGCCUGAUGCAGCCAUGCCGCGUGUGUGAAGAAGGCCUUCGGGUUGUAAAGCACUUUCAACAGUGAGGAAGGCGGGUACGUUAAUAGCGUGCUCGUUUGACGUUAGCUGCAGAAGAAGCACCGGCUAACUCCGUG